AGAGUUUGAUCCUGGCUCAGGAUGAACGCUAGCGACAGGCUUAACACAUGCAAGUCGAGGGGCAGCAUGAUUUGUAGCAAUACAGAUUGAUGGCGACCGGCGCACGGGUGAGUAACGCGUAUGCAACUUACCUAUCAGAGGGGGAUAGCCCGGCGAAAGUCGGAUUAAUACCCCAUAAAACAGGGGUCCCGCAUGGGAAUAUUUGUUAAAGAUUCAUCGCUGAUAGAUAGGCAUGCGUUCCAUUAGGCAGUUGGCGGGGUAACGGCUCACCAAACCGACGAUGGAUAGGGGUUCUGAGAGGAAGGUCCCCCACAUUGGUACUGAGACACGGACCAAACUCCUACGGGAGGCAGCAGUGAGGAAUAUUGGUCAAUGGCCGAGAGGCUUAACCAGCCAAGUCGGGUGAAGGAAGAAGGAUCUAUCGUUUGUAAACUUCAUUUAUAGGGGAAUAAAGUGUAGGACGUGUCCUUUUUUGUAUGUACCCUAUGAAUAAGCAUCGGCUAACUCCGUGCCAGCAGCCGCGGUAAUACGGAGGAUGCGAGCGUUAUCCGGAUUUAUUGGGUUUAAAGGGUGCGUAGGUGGUGAUUUAAGUCAGCGGUGAAAGUUUGUGGCUCAACCAUAAAAUUGCCGUUGAAACUGGGUUACUUGAGUGUGUUUGAGGUAGGCGGAAUGCGUGGUGUAGCGGUGAAAUGCAUAGAUAUCACGCAGAACUCCGAUUGCGAAGGCAGCUUACUAAACCAUAACUGACACUGAAGCACGAAAGCGUGGGGAUCAAACAGGAUUAGAUACCCUGGUAGUCCACGCAGUAAACGAUGAUUACUAGGAGUUUGCGAUACAAUGUAAGCUCUACAGCGAAAGCGUUAAGUAAUCCACCUGGGGAGUACGCCGGCAACGGUGAAACUCAAAGGAAUUGACGGGGGCCCGCACAAGCGGAGGAACAUGUGGUUUAAUUCGAUGAUACGCGAGGAACCUUACCCGGGUUUGAACGUAGUCUGACCGGAGUGGAAACACUCUUUCUAGCAAUAGCAGAUUACGAGGUGCUGCAUGGUUGUCGUCAGCUCGUGCCGUGAGGUGUCGGCUUAAGUGCCAUAACGAGCGCAACCCUUAUCACUAGUUACUAACAGGUGAAGCUGAGGACUCUGGUGAGACUGCCAGCGUAAGCUGUGAGGAAGGUGGGGAUGACGUCAAAUCAGCACGGCCCUUACAUCCGGGGCGACACACGUGUUACAAUGGCAUGGACAAAGGGCAGCUACCUGGUGACAGGAUGCUAAUCUCCAAACCAUGUCUCAGUUCGGAUCGGAGUCUGCAACUCGACUCCGUGAAGCUGGAUUCGCUAGUAAUCGCGCAUCAGCCAUGGCGCGGUGAAUACAUUCCCGGACCUUGUACACACCGCCCGUCAAGC
This 1402-nucleotide ribosomal RNA is filed under the name human gut metagenome. Its description in RNAcentral is "bacterial SSU rRNA". It matches the Rfam family "Bacterial small subunit ribosomal RNA". The record is from RNAcentral.